GACGAACGCUGGCGGCGGGCUUAACACAUGCAAGUCGAACGGAAAGGCCCUGCUUUUUUGUGGUUCUCGAGUGGCGCACGUGUGUGUUACACGUGAGUAUCCUUCCCUGUACUUUGUGAUGACUGCAGGAAACUGGUGCUAAUACCUGAUAGGUGCUCCUGCUGCAUGGGGGGGUUUGGAACGUUUCGGCGGUUGUGGAUGGACGGGCGGGUUAUCAGCUGGUUGGUUGGGUAGUCGCUUACCAAGGCUUUGACGGAUAGCCGGCAUGAGAGGGUGACCGGCCACAUGGGGACUACGGGAGGGACCAGACUGGUACGGGAGGCAGAAGUGGGGAAUAUGGCCCAAUGGGCGGAAGCGUGAGGAAGAAACGCCGGGUGCGGGAUGACGGCCUUGGGGGGGUAAACCGCUUUAGGCUGUGACGUAGCGUGAGUGACGGUAAUGGGAAAAGAAGCACCGGCUAACUACGUG
This 468-nucleotide ribosomal RNA is filed under the name uncultured bacterium. RNAcentral describes it as "partial 16S ribosomal RNA". It matches the Rfam family "Bacterial small subunit ribosomal RNA", at positions 28 to 507 of the family's 1533-position model. The record is from RNAcentral.